CAUGCGCCGUAAAAAAGCACGGCUGCCACGGGUUUUACUCUUCGAGCUUCGUCUACCGGUUAGCCGAUAAAAAAGCUCCGCCGCGAGACUCGUCGUUGGACGGUGUUCCAGGCGCGUUGCCGUGUUGGUUUCUGUUCGUGCUGAAUUUCAUCGUGACCGCGUUCUCUUGGUGCGAGAAAAUCCAGUUCAGUGGAUGUACGAGAAGAGACGGACGAGGGGUCGAAGGUUGGAAAGGUUGGAGAAAGAAAGGAAGGAUGAAGGGGAAAGAAGAAGAAUUUCGACCGCCCGAAGAAGAGGCAACAAGACGAAGGGGAGAAAGGAAAUUUUAAGGAUAUUGCCACGGUUAUCUUCCACGAUCUCGGCAUCUGUUCUCGUGAUCGUUCUAGUUGACGUCCAUGGCCUCCAACGGUCGGCUAUAAGGGUUGCUUCUCCGUGGAAACCCGGGGGUGAGAAUAGGAACAGACCACGCCUCUUGUCUAAGGUUACCCCCACCUUGAUCCUCGAGCAGUCUCCCUCCGCCACCGUGCGGGAAACCUAAGAUUUUUCCACUUCACCCCCUUCCAUACCACUUGCCGCCAGUAUCCUCUUGGCUGCUACCCCCUCCUUCGCUACUCAUUCACCCCUUACACCCGCCCCUUUCCUCUAGGAGAGUACCAACCCCCCUUCUUCUAUUGAUCCAGGUCUAAGGUCGUUUCUUGCGCUCUAGGAGCUGGCUACGCGAAUCCCGCUGGACCGAAGGAAACCCCCGCCUUUCAACCCUUCCUUUUCUUUUUUCUUCUUUUCCCUCCUUUCUUUUUCUCUUUUUCUCGCGUAACCUUGAAAACUUCUUUUUCACUCGACCGCGAGAUUUAUGCCGGCCUUCAAUGGAAUUCCUCGCACACAUUCGUUCCAUGUAUACGCGUGCUGUGCAUGUGUAAGCAGCCACGCACGCCCCUUUGAUAAUUAUCUUCAAUCGUUAUUUUUCCAAUUAACAAUGAUUCGUUUAUUUCGUUUGAUAUCUAUGUUCCUUCUAUUUUUAUUUAUUUUUAAUUGUCUUUUUUUUAUUAUUUGCUCUUCAUUGUGAAAUCUUAUUAAAGCUUAUUUAAAGUUAAAUACGUCUCUUUAAUUACCGCAAAAUAGAAAAUUUUAUAUUCAUUGGGAGCAUUCUCUUUACAAAUACAGUGAAAAAGCACGAGAAAUCUCGCGUUUUCUAGCUAAACGAGAGAACUUUCACCGUUAAACCGCGACCAUGUCGGUCGUUUCUGACGUCAUAGCUGGAACAGUUUUAUAGAAUCUCCUUUAGUAGUUCUGUGCGUGUAUAGAAUGUAACACCCAGUCCACGUCCCAUGGUGAAUGAACGUGGUGGUUAAGAGAGCGCGGGGGUGAAGGAGCGGCGCUUUAGCCGGCGGCUGUUAAACACGCCGGGUCUUAUCGGUAAAACUGUUCUGUACAGGGCUACCACGUUCAGCCAUUGGCCACGAGAGUAUCUGUAGCCUUAUACUCGUUGUCUGCCAGGUAUCUAGAAACGGUGCAUCGUGCAUGCGCUAAUCAGCCGCCCCGAAGAGUUUUCACGGUAACUGGAGCACGGUCGGUCGAUCCGGCGCGAAGAGGGGCAAAAGAGGUGAAGCUCGCAGAGACAGGAAGAUGGAUCGUUGCUCAGGUCCCGCAGCAAUGUCCUUGGACGCUGUCUGUGCCUUAGGACAGCACGUAAUCAUACCAGUCCGCUAUUACUUCCUAUAACGCUAUCUACGCCAGGAAACGCCAUUGCUCGCUCGUUCCUACGUAGAUUUUUAGAUCAUCUCAUCUUCUAGUAUGAAUAAGUAAGCAUACUUAAAAAUUCACAAUUCCUUGGCUGAUGUUCUCGAUGAAGUACGAUCAUUCAAGGUGUUCCAAUGUGUGGGAAUAAUUUUUUAAUUAGAAUAAAAUUUACAUUGACGAUAAUUUCUUGAAAAAUUGUUUCAGAAGGAUGAAACUUGAGGAAGUGACGGACUCUCUGUUCUAUCCGUUGCGGACGAAUGGUCUGUGUCACCCUCUCGAAGCGGUUGGAAAUUAACUUUGAGUAUUACAGAUGUCGAGGCGCGCCGCGGCGAGAAGCUAGCACCUUGUUAGUCUGACAAAUUCGGUCCGCUUCCCCUUCCUUCUGUCCUCCACUUUGCCGUAUAAGCAGUUAGUUCCAUUCCGCGGAGAAACACCGAGCCUGUUACUUACGGGACUAUCUAUUUGUAAAUUAUAUUUUCCUUCUUUGAUACAAGCACAGGGAUCUUUGCUUGAUCCGUUUAAACGAAGUCCUUAUCUUGUCCUGUACAAAUUCUGCUCCACGCUGAGUAAAUUAGUUGGCAGCUUGAUUAAAUGUAAACUCGACUUAAUAUACCCUUUUUCCUCCUCUUUUUUUUCCCUCGUUUCGCGUUAAAGGGGGAAGUAAUUUUAAAAAGAGUUUAAUCUAAAAGAAUGUAUUAAAUGUUUUUUCAUAAUUUAAUAUAUUUUUUAACGUAUAUACUCGGUUUUUAAUCCUCGGGAUUAAUAUAAUUUUAUUGAAUUAAAAAAGGAUAAAGCGAAGAGCAGAAUAUUUUUCCAAUCUUUCUCUUAUUAAGAUGGAAAGUGUGUAAAAAUAAUGAAAUAACAGAACUUUCUUCUACUAUAAAAAUUAGAUUUAUAAAGAUAUUAUUAUAUUAUCGCUAUAAAGUUUUCAAUCUUCUUAAUGAAUUUGUUUCAAUACAUUCCAUACUGAAUUCGAAUCUUGAAAUAAAGAAAAACAAAAAAAAAA
Molecule: RNA transcript, 2743 nt
Organism: Apis mellifera (honey bee)
Lineage: Eukaryota; Metazoa; Arthropoda; Insecta; Hymenoptera; Apidae
Exons: 3
Source: RefSeq, a predicted model, not a curated record